RNAcentral lists this ribosomal RNA (446 nucleotides) under Capnocytophaga granulosa. RNAcentral's name for it is "bacterial SSU rRNA". It matches the Rfam family "Bacterial small subunit ribosomal RNA", at positions 28 to 476 of the family's 1533-position model. Lineage: Bacteria; Pseudomonadati; Bacteroidota; Flavobacteriia; Flavobacteriales; Flavobacteriaceae. The record is from RNAcentral.
GAUGAACGCUAGCGGCAGGCCUAACACAUGCAAGUCGAGGGAGAAGCCCUUCGGGGCAGAAACCGGCGCACGGGUGCGUAACGCGUAUGCAACCUACCUUUCACAGGGGGAUAGCCCGAAGAAAUUUGGAUUAAUACCCCAUAAUAUUAUUGGAUGGCAUCAUUUGAUAAUUAAAAUUACGAUGGUGAAAGAUGGGCAUGCGUCCUAUUAGCUAGUUGGGGUGGUAACGGCACCCCAAGGCUACGAUAGGUAGGGGUCCUGAGAGGGAGAUCCCCCACACUGGUACUGAGACAGGGACCAGACUCCUACGGGAGGCAGCAGUGAGGAAUAUUGGUCAAUGGUCGGAAGACUGAACCAGCCAUGCCGCGCGCAGGAAGAAUGCCUUAUGGGUUGUAAACUGCUUUUAUAUGGGAAGAAUAAGGAGUACGCGUAACUUUGAUGCUCGG